RNAcentral lists this microRNA precursor (74 nucleotides) under Chlorocebus sabaeus (green monkey). RNAcentral's name for it is "miRNA (ENSCSAG00000023947.1)". Lineage: Eukaryota; Metazoa; Chordata; Mammalia; Primates; Cercopithecidae. The record is from RNAcentral.
AUUAAGCUUUUAAUUUUUUGUUUCUGUCACUCUUGAAGAUAGUAGACAUUGAGGUAAAAAAUUAAAAGCUUUAU